RNAcentral lists this unclassified non-coding RNA (268 nucleotides) under Hevea brasiliensis (rubber tree). The record is from RNAcentral. Lineage: Eukaryota; Viridiplantae; Streptophyta; Magnoliopsida; Malpighiales; Euphorbiaceae.
UCCGUCCUCCACGCAAACUCCCCUGCCUCGAUGCUCCUCUCAAUUUCAUCAAGUCCCUGCAGUAUGCUGUCUCUCUCACUCUCACUCAUCAGACCCUGGGCGGCGAGCAUUGAGGCGUGAGCGCGACUGCCGGCGAUGUCCUGCUUGUAGAGGGCCUUGUCGAAGGAGACGGACUCGCUGAAGUUCUCGACAGCGUCGGUGACGCCGUCCUCGAAGCGGCCGCCCCAGAGCUUGUUCUCCUUGGACGGUUUCAUCGGAGGGGAGAUGG